CGGGGUAUGGCUCAGUUUGGUAGAGCACUUGGUUUGGGACCAAGGGGCCGCAGGUUCGAAUCCUGUUACCCCGA
This 74-nucleotide transfer RNA is filed under the name Lachnospiraceae bacterium. Its description in RNAcentral is "tRNA-Pro". It matches the Rfam family "tRNA". From Rfam's summary of the family: Transfer RNA (tRNA) molecules are approximately 80 nucleotides in length. The record is from RNAcentral. Lineage: Bacteria; Bacillati; Bacillota; Clostridia; Lachnospirales; Lachnospiraceae.